This is a non-coding RNA of Ictidomys tridecemlineatus (thirteen-lined ground squirrel), 932 nucleotides long. NCBI's taxonomy places the organism in Eukaryota, Metazoa, Chordata, Mammalia, Rodentia, Sciuridae. The record is from RefSeq and is a predicted model, not a curated record.
ACUCCCUCACUCUUCUUCCUGAUCACCAAGUGAGAUGCUUUCCUCUGCCAAACUCUUCUGCCAUGAUGUUCUGACUCACUUCGAGCCCGUGGAAUGGAGCCUACCUUCUAUGGACUAAGACCUCUGAAACUGUUUGGUACCAUCUCUAAAUGGGUGUCAGCUGUUGGGGUGGACAAGGUCAGCUCGCUGGCGCCCUCUUCUGCCCAACACAGGCCUCAGCUGCCAUCAGCCCCCUCUGGUUCCCAUGGUAGUUUCUAUUCUCUAGGAGGUGAGAAGUCCAGCAGGACCUUGACCUUGGGGCCUUUCUGCCAACCAGUCAACAUCAGCAGGAUCACAUGGACUGAGAAUUGCAGAACCAAAGCAGAGUAAAGAGAAAGAAGGAAAAUAGGAAGCUUGGGAAGAAUCUCAAUAAGUCUGGAGAAUCAGAAGAAUCUCUAAUCACCCUGGCCACAUGGAAUAAAGAAGCUGAUCACCCAGAUUCACUCACAACUGGCAGGAGAGAAGGUGGGUGAGACGAAGGAGAAAGUUCUUUAUUCACUGUCAUAUUCUGCUACAGCCAAAAGAAAAAAGCGAAAUUAUUGGAGAAAGGAUCAAAGUAAUUCUUUACUUGUCUGGUUGAUGACUAAUUAGUAUAUUUAAUUUUCCAUAGACCAUGAUAUGAUGAUUUAUAUGGAAACAUAAUAUAGAAAUGGCAUUUAUCUUAUUUAUCUACUGUGUUCUACUUAAUAUUUGAAAAUGUGUCUCUAUUAAAUCUGCAUAUAGAGAUAUCCUAAAAAGGAACUUUGGAAGACUGUAACAUAUUAUACACUUUUGAUACAUUUACUACUAGCUCCCUAUAUAACCAUUAUCUCCCCAAACCUAAUUCCUCUCACCCAUCUGAUGUUUUUAUUUUUACUUACACAGAAGCACUAUAUAUUGAAGUUAAAACUUAG